RNAcentral lists this transfer RNA (70 nucleotides) under Paenibacillus sp. PvP091. Its description in RNAcentral is "tRNA-OTHER". RNAcentral also lists the same sequence under 2 other names. The record is from RNAcentral. Lineage: Bacteria; Bacillati; Bacillota; Bacilli; Caryophanales; Paenibacillaceae.
UAAUCGGAAAUCAUCAGACCCGCAUUAUCAGCUUCCCAAGCUGGUGGCGUGGGUUCGAUUCCCAUCACCC